CUACGUAGGGGGCGAGCGUUGUCCGGAAUGAUUGGGCGUAAAGGGCGCGUAGGCGGCCCGGUAAGUCUGGAGUGAAAGUCCUGUUUUUAAGAUGGGAAUUGCUUUGGAUACUGUCGGGCUUGAGUGCAGGAGAGGUAAGUGGAAUUCCCAGUGUAGCGGUGAAAUGCGUAGAGAUUGGGAGGAACACCAGUGGCGAAGGGGACAUACUGGGCCGUAACUGACGCUGAGGCGCGAAAGCGUGGGGAGCAAACAGGAUUAGAUACCCUGGUUGUUCACGCUGUAAACGAUGAAUACUAGGUGUGGGGGGACUGACCCCCUCCGUGCCGCAGUUAACACAAUAAGUAUUCCACCUGGGGAGUAAGAUCGCAAGAUUGAAACUCAAAGGAAUUGACGGGG
This 396-nucleotide ribosomal RNA is filed under the name uncultured bacterium. RNAcentral's name for it is "partial 16S ribosomal RNA". It matches the Rfam family "Bacterial small subunit ribosomal RNA", at positions 523 to 918 of the family's 1533-position model. The record is from RNAcentral.